Molecule: small RNA, 782 nt
Filed under: Rattus norvegicus (Norway rat)
Lineage: Eukaryota; Metazoa; Chordata; Mammalia; Rodentia; Muridae
Description: uncharacterized LOC103691511
Source: RNAcentral
UGCUGAUGUGAAGAAACACUUCCUGACAGGAGCCUGGUAUCAUGGUUACCUGAGAAGCUGUGCCAGAGCCUGACCACUACGAAUACAGAUGCUCUUAGCCAACCAUAGGACUGGGCAGGGGCAACCCCAAGGGAAGAGUUAGGGGAAAGACUAAAGGAGCUGAAGAGGAUUGCAACCCCAUAGGAAGAACAAAAAUAUCAACUAACCAGACUCCCCAGAACUCCAAGGGACAAAAACACCAACAAAAGAAACUCAUGGAGGGACUCCAUGGUUCCAACUGUAGAUGUGGCAGAGGACUGCCUCAUCUUGCAUCAGGGGGAGACACACUGGCUGCCCUACUCCAGAAGGAGCUGUUUCUAAUUUAGUUCAUCUUUCUACCCUGACAACACGCAGGAGAGUCUGGAUCAUAUCAGUCAGUGAGUGCUUGAAUCAUUUGCUUCAUGAAAUUAAGGAAAGAAGAGAUAGAGGAAGGCUGAAGGCACAUUGUUCAAGUGAGGCUUCCUCUGUACCAAAGUAAAUACAAGGAGCAAUGAAACUUCCAGACUUAAAUCCUGUCUCAUGGUGUCCACUUAGUUCUAGCAGGAAACAGAUGUCACACUGAAAAGAAGUGUUUAUACCUGUGUGGAGAGGGGUAAGGACACCAACAAGGAAACAUGAUAUUCUGGGGUGGUCAGCAGAGGCCUUGUCAUGGCAUGUAGCAUGAAGAGGCUGGGGAGGCAGAAGCAGCAGUAGUCCUACUUUUAUAGUUACCUGGCAGUGUGCUAGUUUUUAUGUUGCCUUGA